This 521-nucleotide ribosomal RNA is filed under the name uncultured Glomeraceae. Its description in RNAcentral is "SSU rRNA". It matches the Rfam family "Eukaryotic small subunit ribosomal RNA", at positions 569 to 1092 of the family's 1831-position model. The record is from RNAcentral. Lineage: Eukaryota; Fungi; Glomeromycota; Glomeromycetes; Glomerales; Glomeraceae.
AGCAGCCGCGGUAAUUCCAGCUCCAAUAGCGUAUAUUAAAGUUGUUGCAGUUAAAAAGCUCGUAGUUGAAUUUCGGAAUCAGUAUGUUGGUCGUGCUUCGGUACGUACUGUCAUUACUGGUUUCUACCUUCUGAAGAACCUUGAUGUCAUUAAUUUGGUGUCUUGGGGAAUCAGGACUGUUACUUUGAAAAAAUUAGAGUGUUUAAAGCAAGCAUACGCUUGAAUACAUUAGCAUGGAAUAAUGAAAUAGGACGUUUGAUUCUAUUUUGUUGGUUUCUAGGAUCGACGUAAUGAUUAAUAGGGAUAGUUGGGGGCAUUAGUAUUCAAUUGUCAGAGGUGAAAUUCUUGGAUUUAUUGAAGACUAACUACUGCGAAAGCAUUUGCCAAGGAUGUUUUCAUUAAUCAAGAACGAAAGUUAGGGGAUCGAAGACGAUCAGAUACCGUCGUAGUCUUAACCAUAAACUAUGCCGACUAGGGAUCGGAUGAUGUUAAUUUUUUAAUGACUCAUUCGGCGCCUUACG